RNAcentral lists this ribosomal RNA (592 nucleotides) under Eriozona syrphoides. RNAcentral's name for it is "eukaryotic LSU rRNA". Lineage: Eukaryota; Metazoa; Arthropoda; Insecta; Diptera; Syrphidae. The record is from RNAcentral.
AGUACGUGAAACUGCUUAGAGGUUAAGCCUGAUGAACCUGAAUAUCCAUUAUGGAAAAUUCAUCACUAAUAACAUGAUAUUUUAAAAAUAUUAUAUAAAUGGUGUGCAAUUUUUCCAUAUAAGGACAUUGUAAUCUGUUAAUGUAAUAAAUAUUUAUCAAAAGAUCCAUUACUUAAGUUUAAUUAAAUUAGUUAUUUUCGGAUUUCUAACAUAAAUUAAAUGUUUUGGAUUUGAUAAAUCAUUGACAGAUAAAAUUAUAUAUUGUGCUCAAAUUUUUCGGAAUUUUAUCAAUAAUAGAUAGAUCUAUUGAUUUUAUUUAUUUAUUGUAUGCGCUAUAUGAUUAACAAUGCGAUAGAUUCAGGAUACCUUCAGGACCCGUCUUGAAACACGGACCAAGGAGUCUAACAUAUGUGCAAGUCAUUGGGUAUUUUUAAUAAAACCCAAUGGCAUAAUUAACUUAACUGUUAAUUUUAAUUAAUGGGAUUAGUUUAUAUUUUGUUAUGAAAUAUUUAUUCAAUCCCGGGGCGUUCUAUAUAGUUAUGUAUAAUGAUAUUUAUAUUAUUUAUGCCUCUAACUAGAGCGUACCCUGAGC